Molecule: ribosomal RNA, 372 nt
Filed under: uncultured bacterium
Lineage: Bacteria
Description: bacterial SSU rRNA
Rfam family: Bacterial small subunit ribosomal RNA
Source: RNAcentral
ACGAACCGAGCGAACGUUGUUCGGAAUCACUGGGCUUAAAGGGCGCGUAGGCGGGCAUCCAAGUCUGUGGUGAAAUCCGGCAGCUUAACUGUCGAAUUGCCGUGGAUACUGGGUGUCUCGAGGGAGGCAGGGGUGCGCGGAACUAAUGGUGGAGCGGUGAAAUGCGUUGAUAUCAUUAGGAACUCCGGUGGCGAAGGCGGCGCACUGGUCCUCUUCUGACGCUGAGGCGCGAAAGCCAGGGGAGCAAACGGGAUUAGAUACCCCGGUAGUCCUGGCCCUAAACGUUGGGUACUAGAUAGUAGGGUUCACAUGGCUUUACUGUCGAAGCAAAAGUGCUAAGUACCCCGCCUGGGGAGUAUGGUCGCAAGGCUG